RNAcentral lists this ribosomal RNA (467 nucleotides) under uncultured bacterium. Its description in RNAcentral is "partial 16S ribosomal RNA". It matches the Rfam family "Bacterial small subunit ribosomal RNA", at positions 28 to 506 of the family's 1533-position model. The record is from RNAcentral.
GACGAACGCUGGCGGCGUGCUUAACACAUGCAAGUCGAACGGAAAGGCCCUGCUUUUGUGGGGUGCUCGAGUGGCGAACGGGUGAGUAACACGUGAGUAACCUGCCCUUGACUUUGGGAUAACUUCAGGAAACUGGGGCUAAUACCGGAUAGGAGCUCCUGCUGCAUGGUGGGGGUUGGAAAGUUUCGGCGGUUGGGGCUGGACUCGCGGCUUAUCAGCUUGUUGGUGGGGUAGUGGCUUACCAAGGCUUUGACGGGUAGCCGGCCUGAGAGGGUGACCGGCCACAUUGGGACUGAGAUACGGCCCAGACGCCUACGGGAGGCAACGGUGGGGAAUAUUGCACAAUGGGCGGAAGCCGGAUGCAGCAACGCCGCGUGCGGGAUGACGGCCUUCGGGUUGUAAACCGCUUUCGCGUGUGACGAAGCGUGAGUGACGGUAAUGGGUAAAGAAGCACCGGCUAACUACGU